Molecule: ribosomal RNA, 396 nt
Filed under: uncultured bacterium
Lineage: Bacteria
Description: partial 16S ribosomal RNA
Rfam family: Bacterial small subunit ribosomal RNA
Source: RNAcentral
AUACGUAGGUGGCAAGCGUUAUCCGGAUUUAUUGGGUGUAAAGGGCGUGUAGGCGGAGAUGCAAGUCAGGCGUGAAAUCUAGGGGCUCAACCCCUAAACUGCUUUUGACACUGUAUCCCUUGAGUAUCGGAGAGGCAGGCGGAAUUCCCAUUGUAGCGGUGAAAUGCGUAGAUUUUAGGAGGAACACCAGUGGCGAAGGCGGCCUGCUGGACGACAACUGACGCUGAGGCGCGAAAGCGUGGGGAGCAAACAGGAUUAGAUACCCUGGUAGUCCACGCUGUAAACGAUGAAUACUAGGUGUGGGGGGACUGACCCCCUCCGUGCCGCAGUUAACACAAUAAGUAUUCCACCUGGGGAGUACGAUCGCAAGAUUGAAACUCAAAUGAAUUGACGGGG